UUUUUUUUUUUUUUUUAAUGACAGUAGUAUGUAGGAAGAGAGUAGUCAUUUAAAUGUGGUAGAAACUGUCCAGAGAGCUAGGAUGGAAGCUGAAACUGGGGUGGGGUACUGUGAGUGGAAAAUAAUCAAGAGAUAAUUUGCUAAAAGAGGAGAUGGACCACAAGAAAUUCUAAGGUUUCAAGCCUAUGUGGCUAUGAUAACCAUGGUUCCACUGACAAAAACAAAUCCAAAGGGAAAGCAGGUUGAUGUUCAAAAGAGCAGGGUCAGCAACCAAGAAUGAACAUGUGAAGAGGAAGGUUCAACCUCUAACUCAUCUGCCACCACCAACUAUAUGGAAAAUUAUACACUUUCUCCUUUUACCUGCUCAAUAGUGGGAAAAGAUUCAUAUUCUAAACUUGUUUUUGAUCAUACUACAUGAUUUACUGAUUUACUGGUAUUCGCCCUAAAGAAUCAUACUGCAUGAUGUAAUCAUUUAUUGGCAUUUACUGUACAGAAAUCUGAAGGCAUUUUCCUUAAGAAUACUCAUUUAAAAGUCCAAAAGCAGAUCUAGCUUAAAGCCUCAGAAUCCAGUCUUGAUACAGAACCCAUAAAACAACCACCUCCACCCUUCAGCUCAUCAGCCAAGCUCAAGCCCCUCUGACCUCUAAGUCUCAUUACAGAUUCAGUCUUUGCCUCAAAAACAAUGGGAAGAAUUUUAAACAUCAAUCCCUUCCCUUUCCCAGUCACCCCCAUGCCCAAUAAGCCUUGCAAGCUUGUCACCUGCAAAGUUAACAGAAUUUUCUAUGUUCUAUCCAAAGAAUGAACAUCACAUUCUUUCCUGAUAUGUAAUUUUAGUACAAUCGGUCACUAUAAUGUCUAAUUUGGACUGCAGCAGGGAGUUCCCUGGUGGCUUGGUGGGUUAAGGGUUCAGUGUUGUCACUGCUGUGGCUCUGAUUACAGCUGUGGCUUGGGUUUGAUCUCUGGCCUGGGAACUUCAAAUUUUAUGGCGUGAACAUUAAAAAAAAAAAAGGAAUAUGUAUAUGUGUUCGGAUAAACUGAAGCUGGAAGAUGUUAAUACUAUGUAGGACAACCUAUCUGUUCUUAGAUAUCAAUGAUCUUAAGUAUAUAAAGGGAGAUGGCAAAGCAAAGGGGUACAGUGCAAAGACUCAAUGCAGAUUCUCUGAGUUUGAAAUUCUCACUACUUAAAUCUUGGCAAGUUAACAUCUCUGUAACUCAAUUUUUCCAUCUAUAAAAUGGAAACAAUAGUGCACGGCCUACUAAAAAAUGGAUUAAAGCACUUUCAGUGUUCAAAUUCAGGUCUGAUUGUUAUUAUACCUGAGCAUCCAGCUCUAAGUUAUCAUUUACCACAGUUGACUUCUUAUUUACUGAUGGAACUUAUACAUAGCUCUAGAUCAAGGGAGGUAGGGCAUAAGGAUAGGUAAACUUUUUCUGCAAAGGCUAGACAAUACUAUUUUCAGCCUUGCUGGUCAGAUGGUCUGUUUGUAACUACUCAAUUUUGCUAUUGUAGCACAAAAGCAGCCAGAGAUAACAUGUAAACAAAUGAGCGUGGUAGUAGCUCUGCUCCACCAACACUUUACAGAAACUGAAAUUGAAUUCUAUAUAAUUUUGCUACUGAGUAUUAUUCUUCUUUUGAUUUUUUUCAAUCUUUUAAAAACGUAAAAGCUAUACUCGGUUGGAAGGCCACCCAAAAAUAGGCAGUUGGGGUGGGGGAGGGUUCCCGAUGUAGCGCUAAAGGAUUGGCAACAUCUCUGUAGCGCCAGGACAUUGGUUCAAUCCCCAACCUAGCACGGUGAGUUAAAGGAUCUGGUAUUGAUGCAGCUGCGACAUAGGUCACAAUUGUGGCUCAGAUCUGGUCCCUGGUCCAGGAACUCCAUAUGCCUCAGGGUAGCCGAAAAAAAAAAAAAGGCACAACCAUUGAAAUUAGUCUUCAAAGAUACCAUCUCUCAUGGUUUUUCACUUAAAUCCAGGUAGAAACUUAUUCCUAUAAGGGAGUUUAAACUGGUCUAUCUCUAGGCAAAAAAA
This 2022-nucleotide long non-coding RNA is filed under the name Sus scrofa (pig). RNAcentral describes it as "lncRNA (ENSSSCG00040009014.1)". The record is from RNAcentral. Lineage: Eukaryota; Metazoa; Chordata; Mammalia; Artiodactyla; Suidae.